GGGAGUUCUGCGCCAGAAUAAAAACUUUGCUGUAAUCGAAAUUUUCAUUACAGCAAAGUUUUAUUCUGGCGCAGAACUCCCCGGUUUAGAAAAUUACAUGGAAUGACCUAGCCUUAAAGGAUAAAUGCCAGUAAUUAGAAUUAGAAAUUAAAACAAUUUAGAACUAGUUUCCCUUAAACUCUGGUCAAACCCGUGCCAGCUACCGCGGUUAAACGAAGAGGGUAAGAGGCGUAUAAUAGGGUGUAACUAAUAAGUUAUAAGGGCUACUUUAAAAUUGAGAGUGAAAUCUAAUUUUUGUAUAACCUUAAUCGAGAAAUUACGAAAGCUAUAUAACAACUAGGAUUAGAUACCCUACUACUAUGCUGUUAACUACGCCCUGAGUAGUACCAGUGUCAGCUUUAAACUCAAAGAAUUUGGCGGCACCCUCCCCCGCUAGAGGAGCCUGCCCCAUAAACGAUGACCCACGCUACGAUAGUCCUACAUUAAUAGUUUGUAUACCGCCGUUUAGGGUGUAUUAGGAAGUACACUCGAGAUAAAAUUAAUUAGUAUAUCAGGUCAAGGUGCAGCCUAUGUAUAGGAGGUGGUGGGCUACAUUGAUAGUAUUUACACGCAAUUUAUCUAUAAUAGUUAAAUCAAGGUGGAUUUAUAAGUAAAACAUUAGGUUAUCAUGUUUGAAGGGGUUCUAGGGUGUGCACACAUCGCCCGUCGCUCUCUUUUUAACAAGAGAUAAGUCGUAACAAAGUAGGCGUACCGGAAGGUGCUCCUAGAUAGCG
This 773-nucleotide non-coding RNA is filed under the name Cloeon dipterum. The record is from RNAcentral. Lineage: Eukaryota; Metazoa; Arthropoda; Insecta; Ephemeroptera; Baetidae.